This is a long non-coding RNA of Empidonax traillii (willow flycatcher), 625 nucleotides long. RefSeq lists it as uncharacterized. The record is from RefSeq and is a predicted model, not a curated record. The transcript is spliced from 3 exons. NCBI's taxonomy places the organism in Eukaryota, Metazoa, Chordata, Aves, Passeriformes, Tyrannidae.
CACAUACACGCUUGUGCAUAUAUCAGCAGUGGCAUAAGGAAAUAUACAGAGUACUAACACAGCCCUUGGGAGCUUUAAUUUUUUUUUCCCCAAAUGCCAGGAAAUCAAGAGGAGAAACAGCCUGUAAUUUUCAACCAACCAGGCAAGAAGCAAACGAAAAGGCUUUGACAUGUAGGAAAUUAGGUUUGAGAUGGAGUCAGACUCACAAGAUAGUCCAAGAAUUAAGAGAGUCAUGGGGAGGUCUUGCUUUGAUGUUAAUAGUCACAGAUUCAUCCAGUAGGAAGGACAGUCUGGAGUGUAUCUGUACUGCAUGAAGUUCACAUGGAAGCCUGACCUUAUGGGAAAAAAAGAGGAGGUGCAGCUGUGCCAUCUGCUUGGUUUUACACCUAUGGGCUUUUUCUGAAAAGCAGAGGACUGGUGAAGAAUCCGUUCUGCAAAAGUCCAGUUAAGAAGACAUUACAUACCAAGAUCAUAUAGAUUUGAAAAAGAUUUGUUUGUUGUUUUUUGGUUUUUUUUUUUUAGGUCAUUCUGGCAAUUUCAAUAAUGGAAUGUGCUUUCAGAAAUAAAGUGCGGAAUGGUAAUAUCUUUUGUUACACAAACUGGGAAAAACCAGACAAACUUCAAG